CCUACGGGCGGCAGCAGUGGGGAAUAUUGGACAAUGGGGGGAACCCUGAUCCAGCGACGCCGCGUGAGUGAAGAAGUAUUUCGGUAUGUAAAGCUCUAUCAGCAGGGAAGAAAAUGACGGUACCUGACUAAGAAGCCCCGGCUAACUACGUGCCAGCAGCCGCGGUAAUACGUAGGGGGCAAGCGUUAUCCGGAUUUACUGGGUGUAAAGGGAGCGCAGGCGGCCUGUUAAGUCAGCGGUAAAAGCCCGGGGCUCAACCCCGGCGAGCCGUUGAAACUGGCGGGCUGGAGUUGGAGAGAAGUACGCGGAAUGCGCGGUGUAGCGGUGAAAUGCUUAGAUAUCGCGCAGAACCCCGAUUGCGAAGGCAGCGUACCGGCUCCACACUGACGCUGAGGCACGAAAGCGUGGGUAUCGAACAGGAUUAGAUACCCGUGUAGUC
Molecule: ribosomal RNA, 439 nt
Filed under: uncultured bacterium
Lineage: Bacteria
Description: partial 16S ribosomal RNA
Rfam family: Bacterial small subunit ribosomal RNA
Source: RNAcentral